This 455-nucleotide ribosomal RNA is filed under the name uncultured bacterium. RNAcentral's name for it is "bacterial SSU rRNA". It matches the Rfam family "Bacterial small subunit ribosomal RNA", at positions 923 to 1379 of the family's 1533-position model. The record is from RNAcentral.
GCACAAGCGGUGGAGCAUGUGGUUCAAUUCGACGCAACGCGAGGAACCUUACCCAGGCUUGAACAGCGAGUGACCACUUCCGAAAGGAAGCUUCCGCAAGGACACUCGUAGAGGUGCUGCAUGGCUGUCGUCAGCUCGUGUCGUGAGAUGUUGGGUUAAGUCCCGCAACGAGCGCAACCCUUGUCUGCUGUUGCCAUCAGGUUAUGCUGGGCACUCUGCAGAGACUGCCGGUGAUAAACCGGAGGAAGGUGGGGAUGACGUCAAGUCAGCAUGGCCUUUAUGUCUGGGGCUACACACGUGCUACAAUGGCCGGUACAAACCGUCGCGAUACCGCAAGGUGGAGCUAAUCGGAGAAAGCCGGUCUCAGUUCGGAUUGCAGGCUGCAACUCGCCUGCAUGAAGUUGGAAUCGCUAGUAAUCGCGGAUCAGCACGCCGCGGUGAAUACGUUCCCGGGC